This 482-nucleotide ribosomal RNA is filed under the name uncultured bacterium. RNAcentral describes it as "bacterial SSU rRNA". It matches the Rfam family "Bacterial small subunit ribosomal RNA", at positions 28 to 507 of the family's 1533-position model. The record is from RNAcentral.
GACAAACGCUGGCGGCGUGCUUAACACAUGCAAGUCGAACGGAGUACCCGAGAAUGAAGCUUCGGCAGAUUUUUUGGAAUACUUAGUGGCGGACGGGUGAGUAACACGUGAGUAACCUGCCCUUGAGAGGGGAAUAACACACCGAAAGGUGUGCUAAUACCGCAUAACAUAACAAAAUCGCAUGGUAUUGUUAUCAAAGAUUUAUCGCUCAAGGAUGGGCUCGCGGCCGAUUAGGUAGUUGGUGAGGUAAUGGCUCACCAAGCCGACGAUCGGUAGCCGGACUGAGAGGUUGAACGGCCACAUUGGAACUGAGAAACGGUCCAGACUCCUACGGGAGGCAGCAGUGGGGAAUAUUGGGCAAUGGGCGAAAGCCUGACCCAGCGACGCCGCGUGAGGGAAGACGGUCUUCGGAUUGUAAACCUCUUUCAGCAGGGAAGAAGCAAGUGACGGUACCUGCAGAAGAAGUCACGGCUAACUACGUG